AUACGUAGGUGACAAGCGUUAUCCGGAUUUACUGGGCGUAAAGGGCGUGUAGGCGGUCUUGCAAGUCAGAAGUGAAAUUCCUGAGCUCAACUCGGGCGCUGCUUCUGAAACUGCAGGACUUGAGUGCUGGAGGGGAUAGCGGAAUUCCUAGUGGAGCGGUAAAAUGCGCAGAUAUUAGGAAGAACACCGGUGGCGAAGGCGGCUAUCUGGACAGUAACUGACGCUGAGGCGCGAAAGCGUGGGGAGCAAACAGGAUUAGAUACCCUGGUAGUCCACGCAGUAAACGAUGAUGGCUAACCGCUGGGCUUAUCAGUUCAGUGGCCAAGCGAAAGCGAUAAGCCAUCCACCUGGGGAGUACGACCGCAAGGUCGAAACUCAAAUGAAUUGACGGGG
Molecule: ribosomal RNA, 393 nt
Filed under: uncultured bacterium
Lineage: Bacteria
Description: partial 16S ribosomal RNA
Rfam family: Bacterial small subunit ribosomal RNA
Source: RNAcentral